Molecule: transfer RNA, 71 nt
Filed under: Cordylochernes scorpioides
Lineage: Eukaryota; Metazoa; Arthropoda; Arachnida; Pseudoscorpiones; Chernetidae
Description: tRNA-Gly
Rfam family: tRNA
About the family: Transfer RNA (tRNA) molecules are approximately 80 nucleotides in length. Their secondary structure includes four short double-helical elements and three loops (D, anti-codon, and T loops).
Source: RNAcentral
GCAUCGGUGGUUCAGUGGUAGAAUGCUCACCUGCCACGCUGGCAGCCCGAGUUCGAUUCCCGGCUGAUGCA